UGCAGUCGAGUCAAAUUCAGCUUCCAUCCUUUUAUGGGCCCUCUGUCCCCUGCACUGGGACCUAGGGAUAACUUUGGCUGGAGACAAAA
RNAcentral lists this small nucleolar RNA (89 nucleotides) under Neotoma lepida (desert woodrat). Its description in RNAcentral is "Small nucleolar RNA SNORA5". It matches the Rfam family "Small nucleolar RNA SNORA5". Rfam says of the family: ACA5 is a member of the H/ACA class of snoRNA that guide the sites of modification of uridines to pseudouridines. The record is from Rfam by way of RNAcentral. Lineage: Eukaryota; Metazoa; Chordata; Mammalia; Rodentia; Cricetidae.